GACGAACGCUGGCGGCGUGCUUAACACAUGCAAGUCGAGCGGUAAGGCCCUUUCGGGGGUACGACGAGCGGCGAACGGGUGAGUAACACGUGGGUGACCUGCCCUUAGCUCUGGGAUAAGCCUGGGAAACUGGGUCUAAUACCGGAUAUGACUCCAUGACGCAUGUUGUGGGGUGGAAAGCCUUGUGCGGCUAGGGAUGGGCCCGCGGCCUAUCAGCUUGUUGGUGGGGUGAUGGCCUACCAAGGCGACGACGGGUAGCCGGCCUGAGAGGGCGACCGGCCACACUGGGGACCGAGACACGGCCCAGACUCCUACGGGAGGGCAGCAGUGGGGAAUCUUGCGCAAUGGGCGAAAGCCUGACGCAGCGACGCCGCGU
Molecule: ribosomal RNA, 376 nt
Filed under: uncultured bacterium
Lineage: Bacteria
Description: bacterial SSU rRNA
Rfam family: Bacterial small subunit ribosomal RNA
Source: RNAcentral